CAGGCCUAACACAUGCAAGUCGAACGGUAACAGGGUGCUUGCACCGCUGACGAGUGGCGAACGGGUGAGUAAUGCGCCGGAACGUGCCGAGUAGUGGGGGAUAACGCAGCGAAAGUUGUGCUAAUACCGCAUACGUACUGAGGUAGAAAGUGGGGGACCUUCGGGCCUCACGCUAUUCGAGCGGCCGACGUCUGAUUAGCUAGUAGGUGAGGUAAAGGCUCACCUAGGCGACGAUCAGUAGCGGGUCUGAGAGGAUGAUCCGCCACACUGGGACUGAGACACGGCCCAGACUCCUACGGGAGGCAGCAGUGGGGAAUUUUGGACAAUGGGCGAAAGCCUGAUCCAGCCAUGCCGCGUGUCUGAAGAAGGCCUUCGGGUUGUAAAGGACUUUUGUCGGGGAGGAAAUCCCCAGCGUUAAUACCGCUNGGGGGAUGACAGUACCUGAAGAAUAAGCACCGGCUACUC
RNAcentral lists this ribosomal RNA (465 nucleotides) under uncultured bacterium. RNAcentral's name for it is "bacterial SSU rRNA". It matches the Rfam family "Bacterial small subunit ribosomal RNA", at positions 43 to 502 of the family's 1533-position model. The record is from RNAcentral.